Molecule: long non-coding RNA, 424 nt
Filed under: Elaeis guineensis (African oil palm)
Lineage: Eukaryota; Viridiplantae; Streptophyta; Magnoliopsida; Arecales; Arecaceae
Description: long non-coding RNA (EGUI_LNC004359)
Source: RNAcentral
AGGGGGAGGUAGUAUACCACCAAAGGAGGAUCUUCACUAGGUCAUUUCUGCUGUGGAGGGCGAGCCUUGCCCGUGGAUUCUCUAUUACAAAGGAUGACGAAGGAAGAAAGUAGAUAGAGUAAGAGACUUCGUUGAAAGCUAGAUCUAGCCGACGUGAUCGUGAACCAUAAGCUGAGAGGGGAAGAUAGGAAGAGAGUUGGAGGAGAAAGGGAGGAAGGGGGAAAGAAAGAGAAUGGGGAAGAGAGGGAGGGAAGGAAAAGAGAGGGAAGAGGAGGGAGGCCUCAACAAAAGCCGAAUCUUGCUGAUGAGACCAUGAACUAGGGGCUGAGAGAGGAAGAUAAAAAGAGAGUUGGAAGAGGAGAGAGAAGAGAGAUUAAGGGGGAAAGAAAAAGGAUGUGGAUGAGAGGAAUGGAAGGGGGGAGAG